UAAACUGAAGAGUUUGAUCAUGGCUCAGAUUGAACGCUGGCGGCAGGCUUAACACAUGCAAGUCGAGCGGGGAAAAGUAGCUUGCUACUUGACCUAGCGGCGGACGGGUGAGUAAUGCUUAGGAAUCUGCCUAUUAGUGGGGGACAACAUCUCGAAAGGGAUGCUAAUACCGCAUACGUCCUACGGGAGAAAGCAGGGGACCUUCGGGCCUUGCGCUAAUAGAUGAGCCUAAGGCG
RNAcentral lists this ribosomal RNA (236 nucleotides) under Acinetobacter sp. AR2-3. RNAcentral's name for it is "partial 16S ribosomal RNA". It matches the Rfam family "Bacterial small subunit ribosomal RNA", at positions 1 to 238 of the family's 1533-position model. The record is from RNAcentral. Lineage: Bacteria; Pseudomonadati; Pseudomonadota; Gammaproteobacteria; Moraxellales; Moraxellaceae.